This 253-nucleotide ribosomal RNA is filed under the name uncultured bacterium. Its description in RNAcentral is "partial 16S ribosomal RNA". It matches the Rfam family "Bacterial small subunit ribosomal RNA", at positions 524 to 776 of the family's 1533-position model. The record is from RNAcentral.
UACGUAGGCAGCGAGCGUUGUUCGGAGUUACUGGGCGUAAAGGGUGCGCAGGCGGUGGAGCAAGUCUGUUGUGAAAUCUCCCGGCUUAACCGGGAGGGUGCGGCGGAAACUGUUCUGCUGGAGUGAGGGAGAGGCAAGCGGAAUUCCUGGUGUAGUGGUGAAAUGCGUAGAUAUCAGGAGGAACACCCGUGGUGCAGACGGCUUGCUGGACCUCCACUGACGCUGAGGCACGAAAGCGUGGGGAGCAAACAGG